This 188-nucleotide long non-coding RNA is filed under the name Ictidomys tridecemlineatus (thirteen-lined ground squirrel). RNAcentral's name for it is "lncRNA (ENSSTOG00000032878.1)". The record is from RNAcentral. Lineage: Eukaryota; Metazoa; Chordata; Mammalia; Rodentia; Sciuridae.
GCUCUGGGCUGAGACUCCUGAAAUAUCCUCAGAAGACAACCAUGCUCAGGGAACAAGGGCUCUGAGGAGGAAUUUUCCCAACAGAGGGACAACCGGCAGCAAGCUGCUCAGCAAAAGCUCAGAAACCAAAAUUACUGUGGACAGGGAUGAAUCCUGAGUGCAUCGCUCUGACCAGAGGACUGCAUCCG